ACGGGCCCGCACAAGCGGUGGAUGAUGUGGUUUAAUUCGAUGCAACGCGAAAAACCUUACCCACCUUUGACAUGUACGAAUCCUUUAGAGAUAGAGGAGUGCUCGAAAGAGAACCGUAACACAGGUGCUGCAUGGCUGUCGUCAGCUCGUGUCGUGAGAUGUUGGGUUAAGUCCCGCAAACGAGCGCAACCCUUGUCAUUAGUUGCUACAUUCAGUUGGGCACUCUAAUGAGACUGCCGGUGACAAACCGGAGGAAGGUGGGGAUGACGUCAAGUCCUCAUGGCCCUUAUAGGUGGGGCUACACACGUCAUACAAUGGAUGGUACAAAGGGUCGCCAACCCGCGAGGGGGAGCCAAUCCCAUAAAGCCAUUCGUAGUCCGGAUCGCAGUCUGCAACUCGACUGCGUGAAGUUGGAGUUGCUAGUAAACGCAGGUCGGCCAUACUGCGUUGAAUACGUUCCCGGGGCUU
This 468-nucleotide ribosomal RNA is filed under the name uncultured Acidovorax sp. RNAcentral describes it as "bacterial SSU rRNA". It matches the Rfam family "Bacterial small subunit ribosomal RNA", at positions 917 to 1381 of the family's 1533-position model. Lineage: Bacteria; Pseudomonadati; Pseudomonadota; Betaproteobacteria; Burkholderiales; Comamonadaceae. The record is from RNAcentral.